CCCUUAGAUGUUCUGGGCUGCACGCGCGCUACACUGACGCACGCAACAGGUGCCUGCUCCGAGAGGACUGGGUAAUCAUUUGAGUGUGCGUCGUGAUGGGGAUAGAAUAUUGUAAUUAUUACUCUUCAACGAGGAAUUCCUAGUAAGCGCCAGUCAGCAGCUUGCGCUGAUUACGUCCCUGCCCUUUGUACACACCGCCCGUCGCUCCUACCGAUGGGUGAUCCGGUGAAUGAUUCGGACUUCAGCGGCUCCCCUGGGGUGCGCCGGAGAAAGUUUUGGGAACCUUAUCACUUGGAGGAAGGAGAAGUCGUAACA
Molecule: ribosomal RNA, 315 nt
Filed under: uncultured eukaryote
Lineage: Eukaryota
Description: partial 18S ribosomal RNA
Rfam family: Eukaryotic small subunit ribosomal RNA
Source: RNAcentral